AACUAUCUCUGCUCAGCUGAAAGCGGAUAAUGAACAAGAACAUCAAUUUGUGCAAUAAGCUUUUGACUAGGAGAUAAAGUCUUGGAAUCAGCUUUGUGGGGGCAGGGCCUGAUCAUAAAUAUAACAGGAAUCAGAAGUGGAACUGUUUUUAAACGUCUCUGAGAGCUGUGAAAGAGAGAUUCUCCAUUUGGUGAAGGAAAAAUCUUCCAUUAGAGGCAGAUAAUGGCGUUCUUUAUAAAGCAUUUCACAUUAACCAGCUCUACAAAACAAGCUCCUGUGGAUGCAGUCACAUUAUCUGAGCCACUAAGUCUCCUGUGAAGCUGGUUUUAUAUACUCGGGGAAGCACCAAGCCCAAGCAGUUUUGAAUACCAGUGGAAAAACAAGACUCUCAGCAGUUCCAGGAAAAAUAAAUUAUUAAAGCCGAAAGAGAU
This 431-nucleotide long non-coding RNA is filed under the name Homo sapiens (human). RNAcentral describes it as "non-protein coding lnc-RAB28-3:1". Lineage: Eukaryota; Metazoa; Chordata; Mammalia; Primates; Hominidae. The record is from RNAcentral.